This is a long non-coding RNA of Pocillopora verrucosa, 385 nucleotides long. RefSeq lists it as uncharacterized. Lineage: Eukaryota; Metazoa; Cnidaria; Anthozoa; Scleractinia; Pocilloporidae. The record is from RefSeq and is a predicted model, not a curated record.
UAAGAUCUACAUAUUUCCGGAAACUGUGUUUUUAUCAACCCGCGUAUGGAGAAAGGAGUGGACUCGGAAGAUUAUGGACUAAUAAAAGCCUCGGCCUACUGAAAAUAGAUAACGUGAGCAUUUUGAAAUGGAAUGCAACGGGCGCUUUUUGAAUGAAACUUGGGCAAUUAAAUGAUAUUGGCUUGACAACAAAGAGACGCGUUCGCCUGUGGGGUUUUGAGUUCAGAGCAGGCUUUUGUUCAAAUCAGCAAAUAAGCCAUGCAUUGAAAUUACCGUGACAAAAGGGAAGCCGGCAAUUGUGUUAUCAUGCUGAAAAUCACAGAAUACAAAACAAUAAUAACACUGGCGCUGAGUGAAUAUGUAUUGUCAAAAUAUCACAUUUCGA